Molecule: small RNA, 2551 nt
Filed under: Pan troglodytes (chimpanzee)
Lineage: Eukaryota; Metazoa; Chordata; Mammalia; Primates; Hominidae
Description: processed transcript
Source: RNAcentral
AUUAAGAUUGUGGUUUAUGUGUGUAACAGUUUCAGCCUUUAAGAAAGAAAGUAAACAAGCAGACAUUAUUUUUCAAAUACGUGCAUAAGGGUUCAUAUUUAAAAGCAAGCCAAAGCCAAGUCAACCACCUAACCACAGCUGUAGUUAAAUUUCUCCAUAAACCAGGCUGUCUUCCAGCCUCUCCACCUUCCAAGAUCCUUUCCUGUGCAUCCCUAAUUAGAAACGAGAGCAGAAAAAGGAGCUGGGUCAUGUCAAUGGACUGGUGGACAAAUCUGGCAAACGGACUACAUCCCCCAGCAGUGACACUGACUUGUUGGACAGAUCGGCCAGCAAAACUGAACUAAAGGCCAUUGCCCAUGCCCGGAUCCUGGAAAGGAGAGCCAGCAGGCCUGGCACACCCACAUCCAGCGCCAGCACAGAGACCCCCACCUCUGAGCAGAAUGAUGUCGACGAAGACAUCAUUGACGUGGAUGAGGAACCAGUAGCAGCGGAGCCAGACUAUGUGCAGCCCCAGCUGAGGCGGCCCUUUGAGCUGCUGAUUGCUGCCGCCAUGGAGCGGAACCCCACCCAAUUUCAGUUGCCCAAUGAACUGACUUGUACCACUGCACUACCAGGUUCUAGCAAGAGGAGAAGAAAGGAGGAAACCACAGGGAAAAAUGUUAAGAAGACACAGCAUGAAUUAGAUCACAAUGGUCUCGUUCCCUUACCCGUCAAAGUCUGCUUCACGUGUAACAGGAGUUGCCGUGUGGCUCCUCUCAUCCAGUGUGACUAUUGCCCUCUCCUGUUUCACAUGGAUUGCCUCGAGCCGCCGCUCACUGCCAUGCCCCUGGGCAGAUGGAUGUGUCCGAAUCACAUCGAACAUGUGGUGCUGAACCAGAAGAAUAUGACACUGAGCAAUCGGUGCCAGGUGUUUGAUCGUUUCCAGGACACCGUUUCGCAGCAUGUCGUCAAAGUGGACUUCCUGAACCGAAUCCACAAGAAGCACCCCCCUAACCGGCGUGUGCUCCAGUCGGUCAAAAGAAGAAGCUUGAAGGUUCCUGAUGCUAUAAAAUCUCAGUACCAGUUUCCACCCCCUCUCAUUGCACCCGCGGCCAUUCGGGACGGGGAGCUGAUCUGCAAUGGGAUCCCUGAGGAAUCACAGAUGCACCUUUUGAACUCUGAGCACUUAGCCACCCAAGCAGAGCAGCAAGAGUGGCUCUGUAGUGUUGUUGCGCUCCAGUGCAGCAUAUUGAAACAUUUAUCUGCUAAGCAGAUGCCUUCGCAUUGGGACUCUGAACAGACAGAGAAGGCUGAUAUUAAGCCUGUUAUUGUGACUGACAGCUCAGUCACCACCUCCCUGCAAACAGCUGACAAGACACCUACACCUUCCCACUACCCCUUGUCCUGCCCCUCAGGGAUUAGCACCCAGAAUUCCCUGAGCUGCUCUCCACCCCACCAGUCCCCAGCCCUAGAGGACAUCGGCUGCAGUUCUUGUGCGGAAAAAUCCAAGAAAACCCCUUGUGGGACUGCCAAUGGGCCAGUGAACACAGAGGUGAAAGCUAAUGGCCCACACCUCUACAGCAGCCCUACUGAUUCCAUGGACCCCCGGCGACUUCCAGGCGCUAACACCCCACUACCAGGCCUCUCACACCGGCAAGGCUGGCCCCGGCCCCUCACGCCACCAGCGGCUGGGGGCCUUCAGAACCACACCGUCGGCAUCAUUGUGAAGACAGAGAAUGCCACUGGCCCCAGCUCUUGCCCCCAGAGGAGUUUGGUUCCUGUCCCAAGCCUGCCCCCUUCCAUUCCCAGCUCUUGUGCCAGCAUCGAGAACACCAGCACUUUGCAAAGAAAGACUGUCCAAUCACAGAUAGGACCUCCGAUGACAGAUUCAAGGCCACUGGGCUCACCCCCAAACGCCACCCGGGUGCUCACUCCCCCGCAAGCAGCAGGAGAUGGUAUCUUGGCCACAGCAGCCAACCAACGAUUCAGCUCACCAGCGCCAUCGUCAGAUGGCAAGGUCAGCCCCGGCACGUUAUCCAUAGGAAGCGCUUUAACCGUACCCUCUUUCCCAGCCAACUCUACUGCCAUGGUGGACCUCACCAACUCACUUCGAGCAUUUAUGGAUGUCAAUGGAGGCAGAUCACCUGGAUUUGCAGAAUAAAACUAAGAUCCUCACUCCCAAAGGAGGGACCUCAUCUGUGGGAAACCCCCAAAGUCCAGGAGAACAGGGACAGAUCUUGAUCUCUGUGAACACAAGAAAUCGAGAUAAAUAUGCUGGACGAGAAGCUGAUCAAGUUUCUGGCCUUGCAGAGAAUACAUCAGCUUUUCCCCUCCCGGGUCCAACCUUCACCGGGCAGUGUCGGGACACAUCAGCUGGCUUCUGGAGGGCACCACAUAGAAGGUGCGCAUGUACACACCUGUCACCAAAUCAUCAGAUCUCCCCUCUACGUGUGCGAAUGGUCACCUUGCCUCCAUGGAGAAUCUGAGCUUCCAGUAUCUCAAACCUCCUUGUGUGCUUUUCAUGGGCUUAAUAAAGCACCAUGGUUUUUUUCUGAAGAGAGCAGGAACAAGA